Molecule: long non-coding RNA, 416 nt
Organism: Centropristis striata (black sea bass)
Lineage: Eukaryota; Metazoa; Chordata; Actinopteri; Perciformes; Serranidae
Exons: 5
Source: RefSeq, a predicted model, not a curated record
AUUCAGAACGCGCAAAGGAAAUAACACAAUCCAUUGCUUGCUUCAUGUGCAAAGACUUGAGGCCAUACAACGUUGUGGAAACGAUGGUUUUAGCUACAUGGUAAAGACAAUGGAACCAGGUCCCAUCUUCCAUCGAAAUUGUCUUUCAUUUUGUUUGCUUAAGCAGAACUUCCAAACAGCUCCAGGGAGAAGAUGAAGAUGCUCCUCAGCCUGUUCUUAUUUUUCUCUGGAAGUUUUAUCUUGGCUAAUCCUCCAACCAAUGGAAGGACGACACCUGGCCCGGCUGCUCCUGGAGCUGCAUCUGCUGUGGUGUUGAACACCACGACUGACGGCACGUCAAGGAUCAUUUAUGAGCAGAUGCAAAAUGAAGUCGACUUGUCUUCUGCCUCCUUUAAGUGGAUAAAGGUCAAGGACAA